AUAUUUACCUGGCAGGUAAAAUACCAUCAUCACGAAGGUGGCUUUCCCAGAGUGAGGCUUAUUCAUUGCACUCUGGAUGUGCUGAUGAUUGCAAUUUCCUCAAAUAUGGAAAACUCAACUGCAUAAUCUUUGGUAGUGAAGGACUGUGUUCACACUCUUCCC
RNAcentral lists this small nuclear RNA (162 nucleotides) under Aotus nancymaae (Ma's night monkey). Its description in RNAcentral is "U1 spliceosomal RNA (ENSANAG00000016643.1)". It matches the Rfam family "U1 spliceosomal RNA". Rfam says of the family: U1 is a small nuclear RNA (snRNA) component of the spliceosome (involved in pre-mRNA splicing). Its 5' end forms complementary base pairs with the 5' splice junction, thus defining the 5' donor site of an intron. There are significant differences in sequence and secondary structure between metazoan and yeast U1 snRNAs, the latter being much longer (568 nucleotides as compared to 164 nucleotides in human). The record is from Rfam by way of RNAcentral. Lineage: Eukaryota; Metazoa; Chordata; Mammalia; Primates; Aotidae.